UAACGCGUGGGCAACCUGCCCUGCACAGGGGGACAACAGCCGGAAACGGCUGCUAAUACCGCAUAAGCGCACAGCUUCGCAUGGAGCAGUGUGAAAAGCUGCGGCGGUGCAGGAUGGGCCCGCGUCUGAUUAGCUGGUUGGCGGGGCAACGGCCCACCAAGGCGACGAUCAGUAGCCGGCCUGAGAGGGUGGACGGCCACAUUGGGACUGAGACACGGCCCAGACUCCUACGGGAGGCAGCAG
RNAcentral lists this ribosomal RNA (243 nucleotides) under uncultured bacterium. Its description in RNAcentral is "partial 16S ribosomal RNA". It matches the Rfam family "Bacterial small subunit ribosomal RNA", at positions 111 to 354 of the family's 1533-position model. The record is from RNAcentral.